RNAcentral lists this unclassified non-coding RNA (175 nucleotides) under uncultured Sebacina. RNAcentral describes it as "sequence contains ITS1". The record is from RNAcentral. Lineage: Eukaryota; Fungi; Basidiomycota; Agaricomycetes; Sebacinales; Sebacinaceae.
GUCAUUUGAAUCGUUACCUUCAGUGCUGGCUGGUCCUCCAGCAAGUGCACGUUGGUGACUUUCAUCCAUACCCCUGUGCACCUUUGGCCUCUUGCUGGCUUCGGCUGGCAGAGGAUUUUACACACAACUCGAAUGUAAUGAAAACUACUGUUGUGCGCAAGCACUACCUAAUGUA